This 1336-nucleotide ribosomal RNA is filed under the name uncultured fungus. Its description in RNAcentral is "eukaryotic LSU rRNA". The stretch from base 668 to 1336 matches the Rfam family "Eukaryotic large subunit ribosomal RNA", at positions 1 to 649 of the family's 3401-position model. Lineage: Eukaryota; Fungi. The record is from RNAcentral.
AAGUCGUAACAAGGUUUCCGGAGGUGAACCUGCGGAAGGAUCAUUAUUGAAUGAACUUGCUGUCNNUGUUGCUGGCCCUUUCGCCGGCAUGUGCACACCCAUCAUCCUCAUCUCUCCCCCUGUGCCCCUCUUGGAGACUUGGAUUGACUUUCCGAGGCAACUCGAUCGGGAGGACUUGCUGGCAUUAGCUGGCUGUCCUUGCAUUUCCAAGUCUAUGUUUUUCAUAUACCCAUUGAAUGUCACAUAAUGUAACAUAUUGUUCCUUUGUGCCUAUAANAACUUAUACAACUUUCAGCAACGGAUCUCUUGGCUCUCGCAUCGAUGAAGAACGCAGCGAAAUGCGAUAAGUAAUGUGAAUUGCAGAAUUCAGUGAAUCAUCGAAUCUUUGAACGCACCUUGCGCUCCUUGGUAUUCCGAGGAGCAUGCCUGUCUGAGUGGCAUUAAAUUCUCAACUAUUAUCAGCUUUUGCUGAUAAUGGCAUGGAUAUGGGGGAUUAUUUUGCUGGAUUCUUCAAAGAUUGUCAGCUCCCCUUAAAUGCGUUAGCNNGUNACCCCGCGGGGACUGUCUAUUGNCGUGANAAUUAUCUACGCNCGNGGACAUCUNCAANCAUAUGNNUGUGCACUGCNUNCCACANCGAUCCGUGUANUNCNGACAAUACAUGACAAUUUGGACUCAAUUCAGCGUAGGACUACCCGGUGGAACUUAAGCAUAUCACUAAGCGGAGGAAAAGAAACUCACACGGAUUCCUCUAGUAACUGCGAGUGGAGCGGCGAAANGCUCAAAUUUAAAAUCGGGCGGUCUCCGGCCGUACGAGUUGUAGUCUAGAGAAGUGUUAUACGCGCUGGUCCGUGUACAAGUCUCCUGGAAUGGAGCGUCAUAGAGGGUGCGAGUCCUGUCUUUGACACGGUCUUACAGGGCUGUGUGAUGUGCUCUCAAAGAGUCGAGUUAUUGAGGAAUGCAGCUCAAAAUGGGUGGUAAAUUCCAUCUAAAGCUAAAUACUGGCGAGAGGCCGAUAGCGAACAAGUACCGUGAGGGAAAGAUGAAAAGAUCUUUGGAAAGAGACUUAAUCAGUUCGUGAAAUUGCUGAAAGGGAAACGCUUGAAGUCAGUCGCGUUGGCCGGGGAUCAACCUUGCUUUUGCUGGGCGUACUUUCCGGUUGACGGGUCAGCAUCAAUUUUGCUCGUUGGAUAAAGUCUAGGGGAAUGUGGCAUCUUCGGAUGUGUGAUAGCCCUAGGUAGCAUACAUCGGUCGGGAUUGAGGACCUCAGCCCGCCGCAAGUCCGGGUACGUGUACCGCGUUCGUGCUUAGGAUGCUGGCAUAAUGGCUUUAAUCGACC